Gavialis gangeticus (Gharial) is the source of this 74-nucleotide non-coding RNA. Lineage: Eukaryota; Metazoa; Chordata; Crocodylia; Gavialidae. The record is from the annotation of a RefSeq genome assembly.
GGCACUGUAGCUUAGUUUGUUAAAGCACCUGCCUAGUAAGCAGGAGAUCCUGAGUUCAAGUCCCAGUAGUGCCU